AGGAUAAACGCUGGCGGCGUGCAUGAGACAUGCAAGUCGAACGGACGAUCGAGGCUUGCUUCGAUCGUUAGUGGCGGACGGCUGAGUAACGCGUAGGUGACCUGCCCCGAAGUGGGGAAUAACUGCCCGAAAGGGUGGCUAAUACCGCAUGUGGUGGUGUGUUCGAUCACACCAGUAAAGCCGCAAGGCGCUUCAGGAGGGGCCUGCGUCCGAUUAGCUCGUUGGUGGGGUAACGGCUCACCAAGGCGACGAUCGGUAGGUGGUCUGAGAGGACGAUCACCCAGACUGGGACUGAGACACGGCCCAGACUCCUACGGGAGGCAGCAGUCGGGAAUUUUGCGCAAUGGACGAAAGUCUGACGCAGCAACGCCGCGUGAGGGAUGACGGCCUUCGGGUUGUAAACCUCUUUUAUCAGGGAAGAUUAUGACGGUACCUGAUGAAUAAGUCACGGCUAACUACGUGCCAGCAGCCGC
This 473-nucleotide ribosomal RNA is filed under the name uncultured bacterium. Its description in RNAcentral is "SSU rRNA". It matches the Rfam family "Bacterial small subunit ribosomal RNA", at positions 26 to 518 of the family's 1533-position model. The record is from RNAcentral.